RNAcentral lists this ribosomal RNA (349 nucleotides) under Klebsiella pneumoniae subsp. pneumoniae KpMDU1. RNAcentral describes it as "bacterial SSU rRNA". It matches the Rfam family "Bacterial small subunit ribosomal RNA", at positions 1 to 347 of the family's 1533-position model. Lineage: Bacteria; Pseudomonadati; Pseudomonadota; Gammaproteobacteria; Enterobacterales; Enterobacteriaceae. The record is from RNAcentral.
ACUUAAAUUGAAGAGUUUGAUCAUGGCUCAGAUUGAACGCUGGCGGCAGGCCUAACACAUGCAAGUCGAGCGGUAGCACAGAGAGCUUGCUCUCGGGUGACGAGCGGCGGACGGGUGAGUAAUGUCUGGGAAACUGCCUGAUGGAGGGGGAUAACUACUGGAAACGGUAGCUAAUACCGCAUAACGUCGCAAGACCAAAGUGGGGGACCUUCGGGCCUCAUGCCAUCAGAUGUGCCAGAUGGGAUUAGCUAGUAGGUGGGGUAACGGCUCACCUAGCGACGAUCCCUAGCUGGUCUGAGAGGAUGACCAGCACACUGGAACUGAGACACGGUCCAGACUCCUACGGGAG